AUUGGAAUUUCUGGAUAAUAUUGUAAAUAUAUAUUUAACUUUUUAAGAAACUGCCAAAUUAUUUGCCAAAGUGGCUGCACUAUUUUGCAUUUCCACCAGCAU
This 102-nucleotide microRNA precursor is filed under the name Marmota monax (woodchuck). The record is from RNAcentral. Lineage: Eukaryota; Metazoa; Chordata; Mammalia; Rodentia; Sciuridae.